RNAcentral lists this ribosomal RNA (295 nucleotides) under Salmonella enterica subsp. enterica serovar Uganda str. R8-3404. RNAcentral's name for it is "partial small subunit ribosomal RNA". The stretch from base 66 to 139 matches the Rfam family "tRNA". The record is from RNAcentral. Lineage: Bacteria; Pseudomonadati; Pseudomonadota; Gammaproteobacteria; Enterobacterales; Enterobacteriaceae.
AACUGCCAGGCAUCAAAUUAAGCAGUAAACUGAUGUAAAAAUCAGUGGUUGUAAAAGAAUUCGGUGGAGCGGUAGUUCAGUUGGUUAGAAUACCUGCCUGUCACGCAGGGGGUCGCGGGUUCGAGUCCCGUCCGUUCCGCCACUUAUUAAGAGCCCUGAGCAUUAGCUCAGGGCUUUUUCUUUGCCUGCGAUUUAAUUAUUGCUCAAUUCGCAAAAAUCCUCUGCAUUUCUCGCUCUUUUUCUACAAAGCGCUGAAGGUCAUAAUCCCCUCAGUUAACGAACAUAGUGAUUAAAA